Molecule: ribosomal RNA, 310 nt
Filed under: Cranaidae sp. MZSP 73098
Lineage: Eukaryota; Metazoa; Arthropoda; Arachnida; Opiliones; Cranaidae
Description: partial large subunit ribosomal RNA
Source: RNAcentral
UUUUAAUUCAACAUCGAGGUAGCAAACUUAAUUGUUAAUAAGAACUCUUAAAUUAAAUUACUCUGUUAUCCCUAGAGUAACUUUAAAAUUUACCAUUCAAGAUCAAAAAUUUUUAUCUUCAACUAUUGCCCCAACUAAAAUAUAAAACCCUACUUAAUUAUUCUUAAAUAAAUAUUUUAUUUAUAAGCUUCUAGGGUCUUCUCGUCCCAAAAUAUUAUAAAAGCAUUUUUACUUUUAAUUAAAAUUCAAAAUUAUUUAAUAAAACCUUCCUCUUAGUACUAUUCUUUCAUUCCAGUCUUCAAUUAAAAAA